RNAcentral lists this long non-coding RNA (488 nucleotides) under Equus caballus (horse). RNAcentral's name for it is "lncRNA (ENSECAG00000055911.1)". Lineage: Eukaryota; Metazoa; Chordata; Mammalia; Perissodactyla; Equidae. The record is from RNAcentral.
CAUGUAACCUCACAAUCUGUGAAGGUUGGAAUUUAUCAUCCCUCUUUAAGAGAGGAUAAAACUGAGGGGCCAGCCCAGUGGCACAGCUGUUCAGGUUGCACGUUCGGAUUCAGCAGCCCAGGGUUCACCAGUUCGGAUCCCAGAUCAUGGCAUCAUUUCAAGGCUAGAUGGAACCUUAGUGAACCUCUUCACAGACCCCUUAAAAUGGGACCAGAACCCAUUGUGGUGAAAACUGGGGACUUUCUGCCCCAGUAUGUUGGACUGUACCCUCCCUGACCUCACCAUUAGCAAUGUUGAAGAUGACUCUCCAGUUAAGUUAUCAAGGUCAUGUAAUACUGGGAAAGAAGAUGACCGUGGAAUGCCUGGAUUCAAGCCCUGGUCUUCUAUUUGCAAGAUGAGUUCUUUGGAUAAAUCACAAUCUACCAGAACUUCAGUUUGCUCUUUUGUAAAUUGGAGGUAAUUAUAAUACAGCAGAGACAAUACACUUG